GACGAACGCUGGCGGCGUGCUUAACACAUGCAAGUCGAGCGAUGAAGCUCCUUCGGGAGUGGAUUAGCGGCGGACGGGUGAGUAACACGUGGGUAACCUGCCUCAUAGAGGGGAAUAGCCUUCCGAAAGGAAGAUUAAUACCGCAUAAGAUUGUAGUACCGCAUGGUACAGCAAUUAAAGGAGUAAUCCGCUAUGAGAUGGACCCGCGUCGCAUUAGCUAGUUGGUGAGGUAACGGCCCACCAAGGCGACGAUGCGUAGCCGACCUGAGAGGGUGAUCGGCCACAUUGGGACUGAGACACGGCCCAGACUCCUACGGGAGGCAGCAGUGGGGAAUAUUGCACAAUGGGGGAAACCCUGAUGCAGCAGCGCCGCGUGAGUGAUGACGGUCUUCGGAUUGUAAAACUCUGUCUUCAGGGACGAUAAUGACGGUACCUGAGGAGGAAGCCACGGCUAACUACGUGCCAGCAGCCGCGGUAA
This 478-nucleotide ribosomal RNA is filed under the name uncultured bacterium. Its description in RNAcentral is "partial 16S ribosomal RNA". It matches the Rfam family "Bacterial small subunit ribosomal RNA", at positions 28 to 523 of the family's 1533-position model. The record is from RNAcentral.